Ailuropoda melanoleuca (giant panda) is the source of this 2675-nucleotide long non-coding RNA. RefSeq lists it as uncharacterized. The transcript has 3 exons. The record is from RefSeq and is a predicted model, not a curated record. Lineage: Eukaryota; Metazoa; Chordata; Mammalia; Carnivora; Ursidae.
CGAUGAGGAUACAAACUGUAAGAUCUAGUUCCUGCCUUUGCGAAGUAUAUAAUGAGCAGAAGAGAAAGAGCACCACGUAGCCGGGGUUUCUACGCCUUGCAGUGAGAGCUGCGCUCCAGGUGCACUCUGCAGGGGGCUGGAGCUUGGAGGACCACCUGCUCCAGCUGGCAGUGGGUUGGAGGCGGGUGUUCUGGGAAGGCUUCCCGGAGGAGGUCCAAGGGCCCGCGUUCCAUCUUGGAAAGAACAGAUGACUGCUUGCUGAAAGGAAGAGGGGAGACACAGAAGGGGAACCACGCAGAGGUGCGGGCAGCUUCGUGAGCUCGGGGAACUCUGGCUGCUCUAUGAUCAGGGAGGGGAGAUUUCAAGCCCCAUCAGGUGGUUGUGGUUAAUGCUUAAAAACGGAGCCUGCUGUUUUUUGGGCUCUCCCUUCCUUGCGAGCUCCUCACUGCUGUGAGCAAUAGAAGACACACAUCUUUGAAGACUGGGUGGCGGUGUCCAUUUCACAAAAUACUGAGGACAGCUACAGUCAGGCAGGCAAUCGUGGUGGAAAUGCAAUCUUCGCCCAGGCCUGGAGGCAGCUAGGCACUGUGUAGGUCACCUAUCCCAGGAGAUGCCUGCUGGAAAUAGUGAGAAUGGAAGCCGCAGUUCCAGGCAGUAUCCUCCACCCUGAGGAGUUCCUUUCCAAGGAAACACAGAUCCAACCACGGAAGCCCCGGAGGACCAGCCUGGGUCUUCACGGAGCGUCACUUAGCUGUGGUCAUGUCACCUGAUGUCAGUAGGCCACCAUUAUUGGGGAUGUCACCUUUCAACCCUUGAUUCAGAUGGGGUCCACAUAUGUAUCCGCUGUAGAAACACCCUGUCCCCCCUCGAAAUUACUUAAGCAUAAGCAAUUAAUGAGCUGUGAAAUGGCAACAUAACCUGUUCCUCAACGACCUUCCCCCAGUGGCUUUAGCCUUCAUUGAUGACUCCGCCAGGAUCCCAUGACAGCUGCAACGUGGUAAUGCGUUAAAUAAUUCUUUUUCAAACUGUUAGUCAGCAUUCUGUAAAGAAAAGCUUUCCCUUUUCCUUCCUCGUCUCUAGUAUUUUUUUACUUACCCGUUUAUUUGUAUUUCUUGUAUGAACUCAAUGCGUUCUUUUUUCUCCCAAUGUAUUCUAAUGUAUUCCUGUCAUUAUUUCUUUAGAUACUUCCACCUAAUUUGACUAAGCUAGUUCCUUAUUGUAUUUCUAUUUGGGUGGCUUUUUGGGGACAGAGAUCCUCCAAAGCUUAACACCUUUUUUGAGUCCCCUCUUGCCUCAUGAUAAAAUCUCGACUCACUGUCCAAUCCAAAUACCCUAAGUGGCUCACAAGACCCCUGGGGUUCUUCCUUGCUUGCCCCUCUAGGCUCCUGUGCCCUCCGCCCACCUCCCCAACUUGCCUUUUUGCUUUGUCAGGCUCAAACACUUCUGUUUUGACCUGGACUGGCUUCCCCCUCCCUGCCAGAUGCUUACCCGUAGCCUCUCCACUCUUGUCUCCUUGGCCUUGGCUUACUUAUCCCUUUCUCGGAUCCCCCUGCAAGCUGGCUCUGGCCCCUCCUGGGCUUGCUCCCACCGCAGUUCCGUGCACACACCGCACACACCGUAGGAGCCUUAUCCCAUAGGAGCCUUACUGUCUGUCCACUUGCUUCCUAGGCUGCUCCUCUGUGCGAUCUCCCCAGCACUCAGCACAGCCCCGCAGGGGGAGCAGGUAUCUGGUGAGGACUUGUUUAAUAAAUAAGUGAGUAGUUCUAAAUCAUCAGGAAUAGAGUUUGAGCCGUGUGGCUAAGCCACAAAUGAGCUUGCUAACAUAGAGGUAAUUUUCAAUGAUGAUAUACACAAUGUCGAGAAAAAGUGUUCAUUUUUCACAGAAAAUGCUGGGAGAAUAAAAGAAAAUGUUCUCAGAUACUUGCUGAAAUUUAGGCCUUUACGAAGAGAAAAAUAUGUUGGUUUUUUCAUUGGGCAAUUCAACAGACAUUUAUUAAGGACAUACUAUGCGCCCCCCCAACAUACACACACACACACACACCUGGUGUAGAUAACUACAGAUGGUUUCUGCCCUGUGCAACUGACCACAGGCGGGCCUGACCGGCAUGCCCGCAGCAAGUUCUAGCAGCGUCGUAGUGCUAUGAAUAGAGCACCAUGACGACCCAGAAAGGAAACCAACUGUCGAAAAGGAGAAGAUUUAAAUGGUUGACAUUUGAGUGGCACCUUGAAAAUGAAGCCUGAUUUUACCAGAAGCGGAAGAGAGAAAGGACAGUCCAGGCAGAGGGAAGAGAACAGAUGGAGGGCACUGAAGAGCCAAAGUGCUCGGAAGGGAAAAGAGGCCCCAGGCUCAACUUUGCAAGCAGCAGACAUCUGAGCCCAUGCCGCUCCUGCUCUGUUCUUUUAAAGGACUGUCAGUGUGCCUGGGAGCCUCAGUCAGUGAAGAAUCUGCUUUUGAUUCAGGUCCUGGUCCCGGGGUCAUGGGAUGGAGCCCCACAUGGAGCCCCCCAGUGAGCUCCUUGCUCAGCGGGGAACCUGCUUCUCCCUCUGUCUACUGCUCCCCCUGCUUGGGCUCUGACAAAUAAAUAAAACCCUUUUAAAGGACUGUCACUAAAGGGUACCAUCCUGCAGUGUAAAGCCCGUCCUUUAUUCAUGACUACACCCAGUGACUCCCCCAG